Molecule: ribosomal RNA, 467 nt
Filed under: uncultured bacterium
Lineage: Bacteria
Description: partial 16S ribosomal RNA
Rfam family: Bacterial small subunit ribosomal RNA
Source: RNAcentral
ACGAACGCUGGCGGCGUGCUUAACACAUGCAAGUCGAACGGAAAGGCCCUGCUUUUGUGGGGUGCUCGAGUGGCGAACGGGUGAGUAACACGUGAGUAACCUGCCCUUGACUUUGGGAUAACUUCAGGAAACUGGGGCUAAUACCGGAUAUGAGCUCCUGCUGCAUGGUGGGGGUUGGAAAGUUUCGGCGGUUGGGGAUGGACUCGCGGCUUAUCAGCUUGUUGGUGGGGUAGUGGCUUACCAAGGCUUUGACGGGUAGCCGGCCUGAGAGGGUGACCGGCCACAUUGGGACUGAGAUACGGCCCAGACUCCUACGGGAGGCAGCAGUGGGGAAUAUUGCACAAUGGGCGGAAGCCUGAUGCAGCAACGCCGCGUGCGGGAUGACGGCCUUCGGGUUGUAAUCCGCUUUCGCCUGUGACGAAGCGUGAGUGACGGUAAUGGGUAAAGAAGCACCGGCUAACUACGUG